GAAAUGCGAUAAGUAGUGUGAAUUGCAGACUUUAGUGAAUCAUCGAAUCUUUGAACGCACAUUGCGCCCCUUGGUAUUCCAUUGGGCAUGCCUGUUCGAGCGUCAUUUACACCCUCAAGCUAUGCUUGGUGUUGGGCGUCUGUCCGCGCUUCUUGCGUGGACUCGCCCUAAAUCUAUUGGCAGCGGCAUCGCCGGCUUCUUGCGCAGCACUUUGCGAUUCAGAAGACUCCCGGCGGGUUUGCAUCCAUCAAGAAACCCAUCAGUUUGACCUCGAAUCAGGUAGGGAUACCCGCUGAACUUAA
This 302-nucleotide unclassified non-coding RNA is filed under the name uncultured fungus. Its description in RNAcentral is "sequence contains ITS1". The stretch from base 1 to 105 matches the Rfam family "5.8S ribosomal RNA", at positions 50 to 154 of the family's 154-position model. The record is from RNAcentral. Lineage: Eukaryota; Fungi.